RNAcentral lists this long non-coding RNA (351 nucleotides) under Rattus norvegicus (Norway rat). Its description in RNAcentral is "long non-coding RNA NONRATT009979". The record is from RNAcentral. Lineage: Eukaryota; Metazoa; Chordata; Mammalia; Rodentia; Muridae.
GUACUCUCCUGUAUCCAUUCCCUCCCCCUUUUCAAGACAGGCCUUCAUGCAGCACGUCUUCCUUUGGUAGCAUCAAUGACUUUCAUUUUCUGGCUCCAGGGCAAUUCCUCCACAAUGCCGUGCUGCUAAAGGACAGGGUCUCUGUGACCCUUGAAUUAAGUGACUUUGGUCAUAGCUCUGUUGCAACUGUCAGGCAAUAUUCUUUUCUUUCUUAUAAAAAGAAUGAUUGGCAAUCAGGAAAAUCUCAUUCCUUAUUCUUCAUUCAUCCUCUUUAUACCAGCUGGUCGUCUCCUUCCAGGGAUGUGGCUGAAUUGAUGCUAAACUAUGGAACGUAUUGUCCUCUCUACUCCG